RNAcentral lists this ribosomal RNA (247 nucleotides) under uncultured bacterium. RNAcentral's name for it is "partial 16S ribosomal RNA". It matches the Rfam family "Bacterial small subunit ribosomal RNA", at positions 524 to 771 of the family's 1533-position model. The record is from RNAcentral.
UACGAAGGGGGCUAGCGUUGCUCGGAAUUACUGGGCGUAAAGCGCACGUAGGCGGCUUCUUAAGUCGGUGGUGAAAUCCUGGAGCUCAACUCCAGAACUGCCUUCGAUACUGGGAGCUCGAGUCCGGGAGAGGUGAGUGGGAACUGCGAGUGUAGAGGUGAAAUUCGUAGAUAUUGCAAGAACACCAGUGGCGAAGGCGGCUCACUGGCCCGGUACUGACGCUGAGGUGCGAAAGCGUGGGGAGCAA